UACGUAGGGGGCUAGCGUUGUCCGGAAUCAUUGGGCGUAAAGAGCGUGUAGGCGGCCCGGUAAGUCCGCUGUGAAAGUCGGGGGCUCAACCCUCGAAUGCCGGUGGAUACUGUCGGGCUAGAGUGCGGAAGAGGCGAGUGGAAUUCCUGAUGUAGCGGUGAAAUGCGCAGAUAUCAGGAGGAACACCGAUUGCGAAGGCAGCUCGCUGGGACGUAACUGACGCUGAGACGCGAAAGCGUGGGGAGCAAACAGG
This 253-nucleotide ribosomal RNA is filed under the name uncultured bacterium. RNAcentral's name for it is "partial 16S ribosomal RNA". It matches the Rfam family "Bacterial small subunit ribosomal RNA", at positions 524 to 776 of the family's 1533-position model. The record is from RNAcentral.